UUCUGGCUCAGGAUGAACGCUGGCGGCGUGCCUAACACAUGCAAGUCGAACGGAGUUACGAGAGCUUGCUUUGUAACUUAGUGGCGGACGGGUGAGUAAUGCGUGAGCAACCUGCCUUUCAGAGGGGGACAACAGUUGGAAACGACUGCUAAUACCGCAUAAUGUAUCGUGAGGGCAUCCUCGUGAUACCAAAGGAGCAAUCCGCUGAAAGAUGGGCUCACGUCUGAUUAGCUGGUUGGUGGGGUAACGGCCUACCAAGGCUGCGAUCAGUAGCCGGACUGAGAGGUUGAACGGCCACAUUGGGACUGAGAUACGGCCCAGACUCCUACGGGAGGCAGCAGUGGGGAAUAUUGGGCAAUGGGCGAAAGCCUCGACCCAGCAACGCCGCGUGAAGGAAGAAGGUCUUCGGAUUGUAAACUUCUUUUAUGAGGGACGAAGGACGUGACGGUACCUCAUGAAUAAGCCACGGCUAACUACGUGCCAGCAGCCGC
This 491-nucleotide ribosomal RNA is filed under the name uncultured bacterium. RNAcentral's name for it is "bacterial SSU rRNA". It matches the Rfam family "Bacterial small subunit ribosomal RNA", at positions 17 to 518 of the family's 1533-position model. The record is from RNAcentral.